This 551-nucleotide ribosomal RNA is filed under the name Anaplasma bovis. Its description in RNAcentral is "bacterial SSU rRNA". It matches the Rfam family "Bacterial small subunit ribosomal RNA", at positions 72 to 655 of the family's 1533-position model. Lineage: Bacteria; Pseudomonadati; Pseudomonadota; Alphaproteobacteria; Rickettsiales; Anaplasmataceae. The record is from RNAcentral.
CUCGUAGCUUGCUAUGAGAACAGUUAGUGGCAGACGGGUGAGUAAUGCAUAGGAAUCUACCUAGUAGUAUAGGAUAGCCACUAGAAGUGGUGGGUAAUACUGUAUAAUCCCUGCGGGGGAAAGAUUUAUCGCUACAUGAUGAGCCUAUGUUAGAUUAGCUAGUUGGUGGGGUAAUGGCCUACCAAGGCAGUGAUCUAUAGCUGGUCUGAGAGGAUGAUCAGCCACACUGGAACUGAGACACGGUCCAGACUCCUACGGGAGGCAGCAGUGGGGAAUAUUGGACAAUGGGCGCAAGCCUGAUCCAGCUAUGCCGCGUGAGUGGGGAAGGCCUUAGGGUUGUAAAACUCUUUCAGUGGGGAAGAUAAUGACGGUACCCACAGAAGAAGUCCCGGCAAACUCCGUGCCAGCAGCCGCGGUAAUACGGAGGGGGCAAGCGUUGUUCGGAAUUAUUGGGCGUAAAGGGCAUGUAGGUGGUUUGGUUAGUUAAAGGUGAAAUGCCAGGGCUUAACCCUGGAGCUGCUUUUAAUACUGCCAGACUGGAGUCCGGGAGA